GCUUAUGGCCAUACCACCCUGAACACGCCCGCUCUCGUUUGAUCUCGGAAGCAUAGAAGGGGCAGGGCCUGGUCAGUACCUGGAUGGAAGACCGCCUGGGAAUACCAGGCGCUGUAAGCU
Ribosomal RNA from Sphaeramia orbicularis (orbiculate cardinalfish), 120 nucleotides. NCBI's taxonomy places the organism in Eukaryota, Metazoa, Chordata, Actinopteri, Kurtiformes, Apogonidae. The record is from Ensembl.